Molecule: non-coding RNA, 3836 nt
Organism: Pogona vitticeps (central bearded dragon)
Lineage: Eukaryota; Metazoa; Chordata; Lepidosauria; Squamata; Agamidae
Source: RefSeq, a predicted model, not a curated record
UACCGGCACGGCGGUCUUGAGAGGAGCUUCCGGUUUGUGGUGUUUCUAUAUUUUUUUCCCCUCCUUUGAGCGGCCGUCAGUCGUGGCCGCUGGCGGCGGUGGUGAUGAUGGAGGCGGCGGCAGGAGGUCCUGGGGAGCGCUGGGCGCCGGUGGGCGCGGUCGCCGAGGCUGAAGUCGGGGAGGAGGACGUCGUAGGGGAAGAGGCCGAGCCGGGGUCCCCUCGGUCGCUGCGGGCGGAGCGGCGCCGCCUCCACUCGGCGCUCUUGGCUCUGGCCUCCCAUUUCGCCCAAGUCCAGUUCCGGCUCCGGCAAGUGGCGCGGGCCGGGCCGGCUCAGCAGCAGCGCCUCCUCCGCGAGCUGGAGGAGUUCGCCUUCCGCGGCUGCCCAGGCUCCGGCUUCGGCUUCGCUGCGGCGGCCGUGGAGGGAGUCGCGGGCGACGCCAAGAGUGAGCAUGAGAAACAAGAACAACUGGAGGCACGGAAGGAGAAGCAGCGAGAGCUUAUCCUACAGCUCAAGGCUCAGCUAGAUGAUUUGGAAACAUUUGCCUAUCAGGAAGGCAGCUAUGAUGCACUGCCCCAGUCCAUGGUCAUGGAGAGACAGCAGGUGCUUAUUGAAGAACUGAUCAAGAAGCUGGACAUGAAUUUGAGUGAGGACGUUGCUUCACUGUCCCCAGAAGAAUUGCGUCAUCAGGUGGAUGCUGCUGUGGCCCAGAUUGUCAACCCAGUACGUGUGAAGGAACAGCUGGUGGAACAACUGAAAACCCAGAUCCGGGAUCUUGAGAUGUUUAUCAGUUUUAUACAGGAAGAAAUCAGUAGUCCUGGGAAACAAGACGAUGGGCAUUGCGACUGUUCAGCGGGAAGUGGCACCUGCAAGCCAAACACCCAACAGCCCCACAGAAGUAACAGAGUAAACAGUGAAGAAGCCCAGAGGAUGCGGGAGACGGGGCUGCACCUCAUGCACCGAAUGCUUGCUGUGCUACAGAUUUUUGCUGUGAGCCAGUUUGGUUGUGCAACAGGACAAAUUCCACAACAUUUAUGGCAGAAGGACCAUUCUGACAGGGACUAUUCACUUUUAGUGAACAAAUUAGAGAUGGCUGUAGCCCAUGUGAGACAGCUGGCCCAGAAGUAUCAGCUACAAGAGCCAGAACAUGUCAUUAGCUACUCAGGUGUCCAUGAUACCUCCUUUGGAGGACGAGAUGAGCUCACGUUGGCUGUGCGUAAGGAGUUGACAGUUGCAGUGCGGGACCUUCUGGCCCAUGGGCUCUAUACUCCGUCGCCUGGGAUGAGUUUGGUCCUAGCCCCUAUUGCCUGUUUAUUGCCUGUGUUGAGUUCCUCCCCUCAGGCCAUGCACCCAUGGGAGCUUUUUGUGAAGUAUUACAAUUCCAAAAAUGGGCGUGCCUUUGUAGAAUCACCGGCUCGCAAACUUUCUCAGUCUUUUUCCCUCCCAGUGAUGGGUGGGGCACCUGCCACCCCAAAGCAGAGCCUACUCUCGGCAAUCCACACAGUCCUGUCAGAGCAUGACCCCUUCAAGCGUAGUGCAGACUCGGAAUUGAAGGCUCUUGUGUGCUUGGCUCUCAACGAGCAGCGACUGGUCUCCUGGCUCAACCUCAUCUGCAAGUCGGGGGCUCUGAUCCAAGCCCACUACCAGCCCUGGAGUUACAUGGCCCAGACAGGUUUUGAGGGGGCCCUCAAUAUCCUUAGCCGUCUCAGUAACCUACGCUUUCACCUACCUGUGGACCUGGCUGUGCGGCAGUUGAAGAACAUCAAGGAUGCCUUUUGAGUGAAUAGGGCAGGUGGAAUCCAACCUAUACCACUUUUCAUGCGUGGGAGAACUUACUGCUAAAUCCAAGAGGUGACUUCCAUAUGUUCACAUGGGGGAUAAUGCUGCUAGCAAUCUUCUGUUGUUGAACUUCUGGCUACUUCCAUUAUGUGCACAACACUACAUACAGCUCCUGCUAAAAACAGGGUCUUUGUAGCUGCUGUUUUGUUCUGGGGAAGAGGUCAUCAUAUUUUUCUUAUAAUGAGGCCACAAGACAAACUUGGCAGCAGGGCAGGAGGUCAUCUCUCCUACCAAUGGAAGCCUCUGAGUUGUUGAUUAAAAAAAACUAUCCGUGCCUCAAAUCCCAUGCUGUUGUAAUCAUGUCUGAACCAUGUUGGUUGCUGUUUGACAUCACUGUCUAAGAAUUCUGAUUUCUGAGGCAUGUUGUGAGAAACAUCACCCCAGAUCUGUAGAUUCAAAUUUAAAAGCACUGGCAGAAUUUCCAAAAUCAGCAUGGUCCUUUCCUAUGGUGGUCACCUUAAGCUAUUUGACACGUUGCAGGGCCAAAAACCUGCAGGGAAUUUUCCAGUCAGAUUGUUAUAUGCUAGAACAGAAUUUUGCAUACACUUUUAUGGCAACAAAUGGAUCUCACAUGUGCCCGUUACUGAGCUGGCAGGCUUGCAAGGUGGUGAAAGAUGAAAGAAUGGACUCAAACGUAAUCAGUCACCAUGGGGGAAAAAAGAAUGUCUUGUUAGACUUUCAGGAAUUAGGACAUAUUGGCCAGAAUUCUGUUGCAUUUUACCCAGUGUGAAAGGGCAGCUAUCCACGAGCAUUUCACUGUUUUCUGGCUGUUGCUAGAAAGAUAGUUAGCAUUGCUUGUAGUUAUUUUCUAUCAUGUAAUGGAAGAUUUUGGGCAUUAUGGCUUUCUAUAUUGAGUAUGGGGGGGGGAGUGUUUUUGCCUGGAGCAGGAGGGUUUGUUUUAUGAUUUGAUAAAACGCACCUAUCUUGCUGUGUGAAAGGAUGGUGGAUAGAGGUGACAGGUUUAUACCUUUAAUGAAAAACAUUUUAGCUUGCCUGUUUGAAUAGCAGUUGUAACUGCAUCUUUGAAGGAACAAGCAGUUUGGUGCUGGCACAAAAAGUAAGUUUCCCUGUUUUUGCAUAGCCAGCCCUAAGCAAGCUGUUUUUGGAAUUAGAGGUGCAUGACCUUGAACCUGUUGAUCCUCAGACUAGCUUUCUGGAAGUAGCAAGGCUUGGCUGGAAUAUUUGAGCUGUUUUGCUUCAGUGGAGGAGAAUAGUGGCAGAGGAUUAAGUGUAAAAUACUGAGAUUAGGGGAGCGAUAUCUGUUCAGGGCCUACUUGUCCCUUAGUGCCCUGCUGAUAGGCUCAGCACACAGCAUUUGUGAAAUUCCUUAUCCCAAAUAGGUGGUAUCUGUAAUGCUACGUUGUAUUACUUAGGAGUAGAGACUCCAACUUACAUGGGGACUCUCCACAUGAGAAAAAUUGUAUUCUGGAAAAUUAGUGUUUUUGCCUGUUUGGACAGCUUGCAUACUACCUUUCCUUUUCAGACUCAGCAGUCGUCAUGAGGAGAAAAAGUUACCAUAGAGGGUGUAGGGUAGGCACUUCCUUCCUUAUAUGCUGAGAAAACUAUAUUCUAGAGCCUGAAUGGAGCUGUUGUAUUGGUGAGAUUUGAGACGCUGAAGGCAUCAAUACCAUCUUCAAAACAAAAUUCAGUAACAGUUUGGUCACAGAACACAGAGAAAAAGUUGAAUGGCAAACUGCUAAGUGUGCUAGGUAAAGUCUGUGUAUUUCUGCAUAUUAAGUGGCCUGUGCUCUGUGUGUGUGUGUGUGUGUGUGUGUGUGUAAAUUAUGCCAAUGAAACACCUCUGUUUUAACAAACAUCUACUCCUGCUUUUACCCCCUUAAUUUAUGUGUUGGAUGCACUUUAGAAAAUGAUGCCCUGGCUCUUUAGGGUUUUUUUAAAUGUUUCUUAUGCUUUACUUAAGUUCAGUGCAAGAGGAGGAAUGUAUUGGUCAAGAAUUGUAUCUGUUGCUAGUGGUAAUAAAUUCAGUCUGGUAUCUUG